AGCAGCUGUGUCAAGUUCAGGGCUUGUCCAGCUUACGGCAGGCACUGGCCCAAAAGGCUGCCACAGUAAUACUGUGGCUCAUGGGCCUGACCCCUCUCCUGGGCCUCAGGGAUAAAUUUGGUUUCAGAUACUA
Molecule: small nucleolar RNA, 133 nt
Organism: Erinaceus europaeus (western European hedgehog)
Lineage: Eukaryota; Metazoa; Chordata; Mammalia; Eulipotyphla; Erinaceidae
Source: Ensembl